GAUGAAGAACGUAGCGAAAUGCGAUACUUGGUGUGAAUUGCAGAAUCCCGUGAACCAUCGAGUCUUUGAACGCAAGUUGCGCCCGAAGCCUCGGCUAAGGGCACGUCUGCCUGGGCGUCACGCAUCGCGUCUCCCCCAAACCGCCAAGGCGGAGGGGAAGGAAGAUGGCUUCCCGUGCCUCACCCGGCGCGGUUGGCCUAAAUUUGGAGCCCGCGGCACUUAGCUCUCGCGGCGAUAGGUGGUGAACAAGGCCUUGGCCGUGCAAACAACCCGCUGCUAAGCUCUAUGUCACGUGCGCUCGUCGGACCCUUUGAAGUUGCCUUCGGUGACUUAAAACCUUUGCGACCCCAGGUCAGGCGGGGCUACCCGCUGAAUUUAAGCAUAUCAAUAAGCGGAGGA
Molecule: unclassified non-coding RNA, 399 nt
Filed under: soil metagenome
Description: partial contains 5.8S ribosomal RNA, internal transcribed spacer 2, and large subunit ribosomal RNA
Rfam family: 5.8S ribosomal RNA (bases 1-120)
Source: RNAcentral